Molecule: ribosomal RNA, 441 nt
Filed under: uncultured bacterium
Lineage: Bacteria
Description: partial 16S ribosomal RNA
Rfam family: Bacterial small subunit ribosomal RNA
Source: RNAcentral
CCUACGGGAGGCAGCAGUGGGGGAUAUUGCACAAUGGGGGGAACCCUGAUGCAGCGACGCCGCGUGGGUGAAGGAGCGUUUCGGCGCGUAAAGCCCUAUCGGCAGGGAAGAAGGAGGACGGUACCUGACUCAGAAGCCCCGGCUAACUACGUGCCAGCAGCCGCGGUAAUACGUAGGUGGCAAGCGUUAUACGGAUUUACUGGGUGUAAAGGGGGUGCUGACUGCAGCGCAAGCCAGGAGUGAAAGCCCGGGGCCCAACCCCGGGACUGCUCUGGAAACUGCGCGGCUGGAGGGCAGGAGGGGCAGGCGGAAUUCGUGGUGUAGCGGGGAAAUGCGUAGAUAUCAGGAGGAACACCGGUGGCGAAGGCAGCCUGCUGGACUGCGACUGACGUUGAGGCCCGAAAGCGUGGGGAGCAAACAGGAUUAGAUACCCUAGUAGUC